AGUAAAAGUAUAAAUUGUAUGCUUGAUUUCGGCUCAUGAGGUGGAAGAUUCUUUUCCUUACUUUA
RNAcentral lists this transfer RNA (65 nucleotides) under Xylophaga dorsalis. Its description in RNAcentral is "tRNA-Arg". Lineage: Eukaryota; Metazoa; Mollusca; Bivalvia; Myida; Xylophagaidae. The record is from RNAcentral.